GAUGAACGCUGGCGGCGUGCCUAACACAUGCAAGUCGAACGAAGCAAUUAAGAUGAAGUUUUCGGAUGGAAUCUUGAUUGACUGAGUGGCGGACGGGUGAGUAACGCGUGGAUAACCUGCCUCACACUGGGGGAUAACAGUUAGAAAUGACUGCUAAUACCGCAUAAGCGCACAGUGCCGCAUGGCAGUGUGUGAAAAACUCCGGUGGUGUGAGAUGGAUCCGCGUCUGAUUAGCCGGUUGGCGGGGUAACGGCCCACCAAAGCGACGAUCAGUAGCCGACCUGAGAGGGUGACCGGCCACAUUGGGACUGAGACACGGCCCAAACUCCUACGGGAGGCAGCAGUGGGGAAUAUUGCACAAUGGGCGAAAGCCUGAUGCAGCGACGCCGCGUGAGUGAAGAAGUAUUUCGGUAUGUAAAGCUCUAUCAGCAGGGAAGAAAAUGACGGUACCUGACUAAGAAGCCCCGGCUAACUACGUGCCAGCAGCCGCGGUAAUACGUAGGGGGCAAGCGUUAUCCGGAUUUACUGGGUGUAAAGGGAGCGUAGACGGCGAAGCAAGUCUGAAGUGAAAACCCAGGGCUCAACCCUGGGACUGCUUUGGAAACUGUUUUGCUAGAGUGUCGGAGAGGUAAGUGGAAUUCCUAGUGUAGCGGUGAAAUGCGUAGAUAUUAGGAGGAACACCAGUGGCGAAGGCGGCUUACUGGACGAUAACUGACGUUGAGGCUCGAAAGCGUGNGGAGCAAACAGG
This 748-nucleotide ribosomal RNA is filed under the name uncultured bacterium. RNAcentral's name for it is "bacterial SSU rRNA". It matches the Rfam family "Bacterial small subunit ribosomal RNA", at positions 28 to 776 of the family's 1533-position model. The record is from RNAcentral.